UGAACGCUAGCUACAGGCUUAACACAUGCAAGUCGAGGGGCAGCAUGGUCUUAGCUUGCUAAGACUGAUGGCGACCGGCGCACGGGUGAGUAACACGUAUCCAACCUGCCGUCUACUCUUGGACAGCCUUCUGAAAGGAAGAUUAAUACAAGAUGGCAUCAUGAGUCCGCAUGUUCACAUGAUUAAAGGUAUUCCGGUAGACGAUGGGGAUGCGUUCCAUUAGAUAGUAGGCGGGGUAACGGCCCACCUAGUCUUCGAUGGAUAGGGGUUCUGAGAGGAAGGUCCCCCACAUUGGAACUGAGACACGGUCCAAACUCCUACGGGAGGCAGCAGUGAGGAAUAUUGGUCAAUGGGCGAGAGCCUGAACCAGCCAAGUAGCGUGAAGGAUGACUGCCCUAUGGGUUGUAAACUUCUUUUAUAAAGGAAUAAAGUCGGGUAUGGAUACCCGUUUGCAUGUACUUUAUGAAUAAGGAUCGGCUAACUCCGUGCCAGCAGCCGCGGUAAUACGGAGGAUCCGAGCGUUAUCCGGAUUUAUUGGGUUUAAAGGGAGCGUAGAUGGAUGUUUAAGUCAGUUGUGAAAGUUUGCGGCUCAACCGUAAAAUUGCAGUUGAUACUGGAUAUCUUGAGUGCAGUUGAGGCAGGCGGAAUUCGUGGUGUAGCGGUGAAAUGCUUAGAUAUCACGAAGAACUCCGAUUGCGAAGGCAGCCUGCUAAGCUGCAACUGACAUUGAGGCUCGAAAGUGUGGGUAUCAAACAGGAUUAGAUACCCUGGUAGUCCACACGGUAAACGAUGAAUACUCGCUGUUUGCGAUAUACUGCAAGCGGCCAAGCGAAAGCGUUAAGUAUUCCACCUGGGGAGUACGCCGGCAACGGUGAAACUCAAAGGAAUUGACGGGGGCCCGCACAAGCGGAGGAACAUGUGGUUUAAUUCGAUUAUACGCGAGGAACCUUACCCGGGCUUAAAUUGCAGAUGAAUUACGGUGAAAGCCGUAAGCCGCAAGGCAUCUGUGAAGGUGCUGCAUGGUUGUCGUCAGCUCGUGCCGUGAGGUGUCGGCUUAAGUGCCAUAACGAGCGCAACCCUUGUUGUCAGUUACUAACAGGUUCCGCUGAGGACUCUGACAAGACUGCCAUCGUAAGAUGUGAGGAAGGUGGGGAUGACGUCAAAUCAGCACGGCCCUUACGUCCGGGGCUACACACGUGUUACAAUGGGGGGUACAGAGGGCCGCUACCACGCGAGUGGAUGCCAAUCCCCAAAACCUCUCUCAGUUCGGACUGGAGUCUGCAACCCGACUCCACGAAGCUGGAUUCGCUAGUAAUCGCGCAUCAGCCACGGCGCGGUGAAUACGUUCCCGGGCCUUGUACACACCGCCCGUCAAGCCAUGGGAGCCGGGGGUACCUGAAGUGCGUAACCGCGAGGAGCGCCCUAGGGUAAAACUGGUGACUGGGGCUAAG
RNAcentral lists this ribosomal RNA (1451 nucleotides) under uncultured organism. RNAcentral's name for it is "SSU rRNA". It matches the Rfam family "Bacterial small subunit ribosomal RNA". The record is from RNAcentral.